UUUUUAUUGCAUGAUUGAUAACUUUAACAAAUACGUUAUAAGUCCCUCUCCCAACUAUGACUACGUUAUAAUCAAUAGUAAUACUUCCAUUUUUUUCAAUUCUACGGGGAAGGCAUCGGCGGAUCCUCUGACGACACCCCGGGACCGUAGUGUGGUUGGGAAGUCAACGGCGAAUCCCUGGGGCAAGCGCAGUUUCCACCGAUGCAAACGCACGGUGUCUUACAUUGACAUGGCUCGAUUUGGUUAACUCUUCCUUCUGCUCCAAUGUUUGAAGUCUCACCUACAAUAUAAUCGCAUUGUCAGAUGAAAUUAUUAAUCGGGUAUUAUUCAACCGUAUUCACAAUUUUUCUAACAAUAAUACCCGAGAAAAAAAUUAUAUACCUACGAUAAAAAUCAGGAGCACAAUCAUUAAAACCAGUUUCGUAGAUGCCUUAUCCAUUUCUCUCUUUAGAUAUCUCUCCUUAGAACUUCGUAGUACCGACAGUUGCAAGUAUUAGAUUCAUUUUCUCUCUCUUACUCUAUCGUGUACAUUAACGCAGUGUUCGAGAGUAUCAAGGACUUGUAGUUAGCACGUUAAUAACGAUUAUGACUCGUUACAAAAGAUUAUAAUCCGUUAGUGCAUCAUUCAUGAUUGUUUUCUUCUCAUGGAAAAGGUCAUAGUUCGAGUUUGUAGCGUUGUGGGGAUAGUGGAUGAUGAUGAUUUCUUUUCAAUUUUUGGAAAUAUAGACUUUGCUAGGUACGCUCGUGUGGCUCAUAAUCUCAGAC
This 765-nucleotide long non-coding RNA is filed under the name Linum usitatissimum (flax). RNAcentral's name for it is "long non-coding RNA (LUSI_LNC008182)". The record is from RNAcentral. Lineage: Eukaryota; Viridiplantae; Streptophyta; Magnoliopsida; Malpighiales; Linaceae.